This is a long non-coding RNA of Orbicella faveolata, 1083 nucleotides long. NCBI's taxonomy places the organism in Eukaryota, Metazoa, Cnidaria, Anthozoa, Scleractinia, Merulinidae. The record is from RefSeq and is a predicted model, not a curated record.
AUACCGAACUCAAACACAGCUUUGCAAAUUCUUCAAUUCAAAUAACUUUCUUGUGUUUUGUUCUUGAUGUAUGACCAAGUCUCGGUGGAGAAGUUUGAGUUCUAAAAAGCAAGCUGCAAGCGUAGUACAGUUUUUUCGCGAUAUUAAUGAUGUCUAAAGCCCUCUUUGUGUGGCGGCAAAUAUUCAGAGCUCCGGUGGUAAAGAACACUUCUUCUCCUGAUCGUUGGUAACGGCAAAUUGGGGAAAGAACAGAUCCUCAGAUCAGAUCUGAAUGUUUGUCAAAGGUAUUGUCCAAGAAGAGACCGCAGAAUAGGCCAAAAGAGAGGAGAGCGGUUGAUGAAUUCUGUACCGUCUUGCCAUAUUUACUUAGUAGGGGAAAUAGGGAGAAGAUCAAAGAUUACCACAAUUCCUCUAAGAUGGUUCUUAUUGAAGCGUAAACUCAUCCACCACUACAGUGGCAUGCACACCCUUGGAAGUGAAAUAAAAGUAAUUGCACUGCAAGGAGAAAUUUGACUUUGAUCACAGAGGGGACUUCAAUAGCUUAGAUUAAAUCAUCUUGUGUUUUUGCUUUUAGACUAAUUAGGUACUUUUCACUGAACUUUGUGAUAAAUUCAUUUAAAAAUAAAAGAAAUAGAGAAACCUUUUGUAAAAAAAAAUAUCUAUGUGUGUAGCUCAAGUCUAUUACAUGUGGGUUUCCUGCACUAUGAUUUUACUACUGAGAAAGCACAUGUCAGCAAGCACUGUCUUAACCACCUGAUGUCAUGGUUUUAUGUCCCAACAUUGUUAACCAACAGUCCACAAACUUGCUAGAUGGCAAGUGAACAAUUCAACAUCUAACUGUUGGUACACAAAUGUUUUACCAAAAAACUGUCCGUCCCAAUGACAGUUGCUUAACGCUUUAAAUUUUCAUGAAAAUGAAUGUUGGCAAACAAUAAUGAAAAAAGUAAAAAAUAUUAUCUUGAAUCUAUUGCAAGGGGUGCUCCCCCAAUUUUCAGUGUUAUGCCUGCAGUGAGGGAAGGGUACGGUCAUAUGAAACAGACUGAGACUGAGGCACUGGAAAUUCCGAAUCAAACCCCUGAAGGA